ACAUUUGAUAUAAAUCCGUAUUUUUUCACGUUUUUAGAAUUUACAUACACGUGGUUAAUAUAAGAGUACAUAUUAAAAUGGUAAAAACCAGUCACGCAAAAUGUUUUAUAAUAUUUUUGUUUUUGGAAUUUUCUUUAAAUGCCGGAUUUAAAACUAAAAAAGAAGAGCCACUUAUCUUUCAAAUAGGUGAAAAACUGCUUAAGCAUGAAGGAAUUUUAGAAGUCUUGAAGCCAGUUUUCAAAGUAAUAUUGAAAAAUUUGUUUGAAAGCGGAGAAGACGAUUUACUGAAACUGUUUGACAAAGAUCAUAAAGUUGCAGACGUCCCAUUCGUUAUAUCCAAGAAAAAAUCUUCACUAAAAGAUGAACACCCUCUUCUUUACAAAUUAUUGAAAGAGUUAUCUAAAAUGAUAGAGAAAAAAAUUCGAUAAAUAAACUUGCUUAAAAACAUUGCGUGCUCACCCGAUGAAGCUACGAGGAAUGUUUUUUCUUUAAUUAAUAUUAAUUUUGAUUAAUUUAUAGACAGUACCUAGCAAAAGCAUUAAAUUAUUUCUAUUAUUGACAAUUGAUAUUUCAUUUAAACACCACUAGGGGAUCCCAUGACGACUACUUUUUACAUCAGGGAGAAAAAAAUACUAAACACCACUUUAUAUCAAUAAGGACGUCACGAAAAAUGUAUUGUUUAAACAAUAAGAAUAGAUAAUUUACCAGCAACUUCCUGAUGAUAAAAAACGGUUCUUAAUAUUUUACUGAAACAAGUGAAAAUUGAUUAUUUUCAUUUAAAACAUUUACUGAAACUAAAAACUCCAAAAUUAAUCGAAUAUAUAAUAUAAUGAGCUCUAGACUAGUCCAAAAGAAAUAACCAGGGCCGGAUUAAGCUAGUGGCUUGGGGGGGGCUAUAGCCCGGGCCCCAGGUCCAAGAGGGCCCCAUCAUUUGGAAGUCAUUCUGUAUUUUUUGAUGUGUUGAUACCACAAAUCUAACUUAUUGAUAUUAUUUUGUGAAUUUUUCCGGGUUUUCGAAUUCCUUAAGGGGGCUCUGUCAUUAUUUUAGCCCCGGGCCUUAUGAAUCUUAAUCCGGCCCUGGAAAUAACCAAAUCUUGCGGGUCCCAAUGUUGGAAUAAAUUUAGCAUUUAGAAAAUUAAGACACCAAAGAAACACCCGUUGAAAAACAGAAGAUUUUUUAGGCGUAGUUUCAAUUUGAAAUCCACAAAUCAAAUUACAGACAUAAUAAAAAAUAUUAACAAUAACAAGGCUCCUAAUAUAGAAAUUCCUUUGGAGAAUAUAUGAUAAAUAAUUCAUUUAAAGCAACAGAAAAAAAUUGUUGCAAUAAAACCAAUCUAGAAAAAUCAGACGACAAAAACUCAAAUUUUACAGGCGAUUUUUCUUUUUUUUCCACUUUGGAAACACUCUUGAGAAGGUCUGAAAUUCUGAAAUAUUUGAUAAAAUAUUCAAUCAUCCCUAGAAAACACACAAAAAUAUUUAAGUUACUGUUGCAAAAUAAAUUUAUAAAUCUUUUGAAAAAGAUCACGUUGUGUCUUUCUUGAUCCAGCCAAUGCUUUCGCCUCUGUGAGGCAUUCGCAGUUGUUGCGGGAUUUUGGAUUCCGUAGGGCGUCUUAGAGACUUGUUUAAUCGUACUACUUAACAAAAAAGGAAAGAAGAUUAGGGUGUUCUUUUUGGUAACCCUCAGAAGACGGUGAUUGACCUCUUUACCCUUUAUAUAAACAGUUUCUCGAACAACCCUUGGGCGAAAAGGUAUUUUUACUGCUGAGAUUGUCUUAAAACUACAAACUUUCAGCUGAAAAUUGUAGAAAAAAAUAAUAAUGCUUUUGAUAUGUAAUAUUAAAAAGUUUCAAAGCUACGACAGGUUUCAUCUGUAUAUUUUUCUCUUCGAAACCCUGCUAUUUCUUUUAGAUAUUUUUGGCGCCAUAUAAUGAUUUCCCCUUUUCCAAAAAUGGCGUUUUUGCUCUUUCUUUAGAUACCAGUUCAUCUUGUUAAACUGUUUGGUUGUAUCAAUAAAUAAGUUCAUAUGCAUUGGUUUUAAAUAUAUACCCUGUAAAUUGUUUAUCUCUUCAGAUAAAGAUAAAGAACCACCCCUCAUUGAGUUAGCUGAAAAAUUAUUUGAUCAUGAAGGACUUUCAGAAGUCUUGAAACCAAUUUUGAAAAUAUUAUUGAAAACAUUGAUUGAAAAAGGAGAAGACGCUGUAUUGGAUCUGUUUGAUAAGGAUUCAAAAGAUGAUCCGUUAAGUUCACUAGUCGGUGAAUACCCUUCCCUUAAAAAAUUAUUCAAAGAAUUAUCUAAAGUGAUUGAAAAUGAAAACGAAAAUGUACAAAUUUCCGUACCGGUCGUGGUUGAAAAACAUUAUCCACCAAAUUGGAGGGAUUAUUAUUAUACUAUAUUGGAGGAUCGUGGUAGAAACGUCGAAUGCCUUAUACCUGGAGAUUGUUACGAAACAUGCUUUUGGUGUUAAUGUGUUAAAAUUUCAAUAUUAUUAGUAUUUAUUCAAUAAAUUCUUCUACUUACAUUCAAUAUUUAAAUCAAAUUAUUUGUAUUUAUUGGAUUCCAUUCCAAAUAAAAACCAUUUUCAAAUACUGUAUUUGGAUGUGAGUUUUUUUGUUGUUGGGUUUUGGGUUUUGAGUUUUGGGUUUUGGGUUUUGGACGUGCUUAAAAUGAAUGGGUAUAAAUAAACGGACCUUUUGCUUGUUUUGCUAAUCAACUUCUCCACUUAAACAGCCGUGAAUUCCGGCUGGUGACUGGGUUUUACCUCCUCUGGUGCAUGGAGGACGAGGAAACAGCAGACCACGUCAUCAGUGAGCGCCCAGCAUUUACUCUAGUGGGGUUAAAACACUUGAGCAAGCCUCUUUGACACUUUGACUUUGACUUUCAAAGAUUCAGGUGCCUGAUUAGGUUUUCAAAGGUAGUUUUACGUGAAUGCCCACCUAAUUAUGAUAAAUGUUAGGAUAGAGGCAAAUUAUUAUUCACUAAGAAAAUUGAAUAAAAGUUAUAGCUAAAUCUGUUUUGGAAUUUGUUCAAAUUAACUUAACCUCACCUAUUUUAACCUAAUCAAUAAAUGGAUCCGUUCCACGAUUAACAACAUCAAAAGACAAGUUCCAGUUGGAU
This is an RNA transcript of Diorhabda sublineata, 3115 nucleotides long. RefSeq lists it as uncharacterized. The record is from RefSeq and is a predicted model, not a curated record. The transcript is spliced from 4 exons. Lineage: Eukaryota; Metazoa; Arthropoda; Insecta; Coleoptera; Chrysomelidae.